This 218-nucleotide long non-coding RNA is filed under the name Hordeum vulgare. Its description in RNAcentral is "long non-coding RNA (HVUL_LNC012986)". The record is from RNAcentral. Lineage: Eukaryota; Viridiplantae; Streptophyta; Magnoliopsida; Poales; Poaceae.
UAUAAAUAUGUAUCCCCAACCCCUCAGGUUGGCAUGGCAUUGUGUGAGAAAUAAACCAACGAAAAUUGUCCCAACUCUCCUAGUGUCAUCCACAACUAUCAAUGCUCAGGCUGAAAGGUCUAACAAGUGGUAUCAGAGCCUCGUUAUCUUGUACCUGAGCAUUUCCUGCUCACCUCUCUCACCGGGAGCUGAGCAGCCUAAGCCGGUAGCAGCAGCUG